This 1044-nucleotide long non-coding RNA is filed under the name Mytilus galloprovincialis (Mediterranean mussel). Lineage: Eukaryota; Metazoa; Mollusca; Bivalvia; Mytilida; Mytilidae. The record is from RNAcentral.
CAAAAUUCUAAAUACUAAAAAAUAUAGUAAUUUUUUGUCAAAUAAUUACUGUCUUUCAUAGGGAUGUGUAUCAGAUUUGUAGAAUUUAACAUUAUUCCCCUUAAUUUUUAUUUUUUUUCUAAUUGUGCACUAAAUGCUGUAUUAGCUAGCUUUAUCAAAUUGAAAUAUUUGUAAAAAUCGUAUAGGUGACUUAAUUCAAAGAAAAAUAGAGGGGAAAAGAAAAUAAUAUCAUACUUAGUAAAUUAACUUGCUUUAGAAUUUGUCCACAUUAUUUCUCCUUACUAAAAUCUAGGAAAUAUUUUUAACAUAGAUGUAGAAUCAGUUAAUAUAUUAAAGCACAGAAUAAGGUGUAACACCAUUAAUUCUGGCCCGGCCAGAAAGCACAUACCAGAAAGUAGUACAUAUUUAACAAAAAAUAGUUCCUACUCAUGAGUGUAACUUUCAAAAUAUGUAGAAUAUUAAGGUAAUUUUGGUAUCAAAUGAAAGCUGAAGGACUGGUGAUCAUUGUGGAACACUUUUGAACUUUUAAUUUUGAAUAUUAAAAUAACUGCACCAAAUUUUAAAUAGAGGGUACAAUUUGUCUUUUUGUAGAUAUGAAGUACCGUUUUUGGUACAUCCGAAGUUCCCGGAACCAGUUCUUUCUCAUAUCCCAUUAAAUGUGUGUUGAUUUUUCAGUACAAGACACCAUAAAGUGUUGCUUUGACAUGCAAUGAUUGCCACUUUAUUUGAACUUAAAACAAAAGAGGUGUGCCUGUUUGAAACAGAGGAAUUUAACAUAGAAAGCAAUGGGACCAUGAAUUAGUGGUGUACUUCCAUAAGGCUCAAACCUGUGCUGCUAGUUAUCUCCACCUUGAUGUGAGGUGAAAAACUGAAGCUCUAUGUUGAAGCCCUCACUGUGUCUUAACUUAAGACGGCAAUAAAUGCACUUUUCAUUUGCUUCAGGUUUUGCAGUGUCAAGUCACAAUGUGUGUAACCAUUUCGAGUCAUGAAUAACUAUAUGAUAUUUCUUUUUUAUCAUUAUACAAAAUUAGAAUAUUUUAUUAC